UACAGAGGGGGCAAGCGUUAUUCGGAAUUAUUGGGCGUAAAGGGCGCGUAGGCGGCCUGACAAGUGGAAGGUGAAAUCCCUCGGCUUAACCGAGGAACUGCCCUCCAAACUGUCUGGCUUGAGACCGGGAGAGGUGAGUGGAAUUCCCAGUGUAGCGGUGAAAUGCGUAGAUAUUGGGAGGAACACCAGUGGCGAAGGCGGCUCACUGGACCGGUACUGACGCUGAUGCGCGAAAGCCAGGGGAGCAAACGGG
Molecule: ribosomal RNA, 253 nt
Filed under: uncultured bacterium
Lineage: Bacteria
Description: partial 16S ribosomal RNA
Rfam family: Bacterial small subunit ribosomal RNA
Source: RNAcentral